GCUGCCCUUCACUCAGAGCAUCUACACCCACUACCGGUGAGUGUGGAUCCCGGAGGAACUGUGGC
Cercocebus atys (sooty mangabey) is the source of this 65-nucleotide microRNA precursor. The record is from Ensembl. Lineage: Eukaryota; Metazoa; Chordata; Mammalia; Primates; Cercopithecidae.